RNAcentral lists this ribosomal RNA (468 nucleotides) under uncultured bacterium. Its description in RNAcentral is "bacterial SSU rRNA". It matches the Rfam family "Bacterial small subunit ribosomal RNA", at positions 337 to 797 of the family's 1533-position model. The record is from RNAcentral.
GCCUACGGGGGGCAGCAGUGGGGAAUUUUGGACAAUGGACGAAAGUCUGAUCCAGCCAUGCCGCGUGCGGGAAGAAGGCCUUCGGGUUGUAAACCGCUUUUGUCAGGGAAGAAAUCCCUUGGGAUAAUACCUCGGGGGGAUGACGGUACCUGAAGAAUAAGCACCGGCUAACUACGUGCCAGCAGCCGCGGUAAUACGUAGGGUGCAAGCGUUAGUCGGAAUUACUGGGCGUAAAGCGUGCGCAGGCGGUUAUGCAAGACAGAUGUGAAAUCCCCGGGCUCAACCUGGGAACUGCAUUUGUGACUGCAUAGCUUGAGUGCGGCAGAGGGGAAUGGAAUUCCGCGUGUAGCAGUGAAAUGCGUAGAUAUGCGGAGGAACACCGAUGGCGAAGGCAAUCCCCUGGGCCUGCACUGACGCUCAUGCACGAAAGCGUGGGGAGCAAACAGGAUUAGAAACCCUAGUAGUCCU